This 445-nucleotide ribosomal RNA is filed under the name uncultured bacterium. RNAcentral describes it as "partial 16S ribosomal RNA". It matches the Rfam family "Bacterial small subunit ribosomal RNA", at positions 354 to 796 of the family's 1533-position model. The record is from RNAcentral.
GUGAGGAAUAUUGGUCAAUGGGCGGGAGCCUGAACCAGCCAAGUCGCGUGAAGGAAGAAGGAUCUAUGGUUCGUAAACUUCUUUUGCAGGGGAAUAAAGUGCAGGACGUGUCCUGUUUUGUAUGUACCCUGAGAAUAAGGAUCGGCUAACUCCGUGCCAGCAGCCGCGGUAAUACGGAGGAUCCGAGCGUUAUCCGGAUUUAUUGGGUUUAUAGGGUGCGUAGGUGGUUUGAUAAGUCAGCGGUGAAAGUUUGCAGCUUAACUGUAAAAAUGCCGUUGAAACUGUCGGACUUGAGUGUAAAUGAGGUAGGCGGAAUGCGUGGUGUAGCGGUGAAAUGCAUAGAUAUCACGCAGAACUCCGAUUGCGAAGGCAGCUUACUAAGCUACAACUGACACUGAAGCACGAAAGCGUGGGGAUCAAACAGGAUUAGAUACCCGUGUAGUCC